GUCAGCCGUAGCCAUGGUCCCAACACCCGCCGAUCCCAUCGAGUUGCUUCUUCGAAUUUUCCUCCCUUCUCGAACCGACCCAUGAAUUGUACUCUUGUCGUGACCGGAUGGGCGUGUGUCCGUCCCACCGUUGUCCCGCGCGCUUAGCGAGGAUGAGAAGGCCUUGCAAAGGUGGAUCGUGAUGGGGGAGCGAGCGCGGGAUCCGCCCGAUGCCCAUCGCGGUCUCUUUCCCCCACUGUCCACCGCCUGCCACACUACUGCUGACGCUGAUACUGCCGCCGUUUCUGCUGCGUUGAUCAGCGAAUUUAAUGGAUCUGCCGCGCUCGUCUUUUCCUUUUCUCUCGCUUCUUUUGACAUAUUAACUUAAACCCAUCUCUCUCUCUCUCUCUCUCUCUCUCUCUCGUUCCCCUUCAGAUCCGAAUGAGUCGCUUGAAGUACGUUGCUCCGGCGAUACCUCGCACGGUGACCCUACGACCAAAGCUUCUCUUCGCCGAGUUGGAGUCGCUGCCGUCGGUUUCUUUCUUCUUGAUCCCCUCUUCUUGAUUGUUUCCCCGCCGGCUGGAACUCGAGACAUUGAAACCGCCGUGGAGAUGAACCCGCUGUGCUGCAUUGCGCCUGUGUCGCUGGAUCGGGGCGACCGGGAUCCCUCGCCCAUGGUGGGGCUCAAAUCCUCGAAGCCGUCGAUUGGGGCGGAAAGCCCCACCAGGAAUUCGUCGAGCAAGAAGUUGAUCCAGGUCCCGGUGAUCCUCUCGGAUUCCGACGCUGCUGCGUGUGUGGAAACGGAAGCUGAGGAGGCUGAGGGGCUGGAGAGUGGGGAUGGAAGGGGAGGGAGUGGGAAUGGGGCGGUCGCAGGGGUAAUAUGGAAGUGGGUGAACUAUGGGAAGGGGUGGCGGUCGCGAUGGUUCGUGCUGCAGGAUGGGGUGUUAUCGUACUACAAGGUCCAUGGACCGGAUCGGAUAUCGGUUGGUUCGGCCGGGCGUGAAUCUGGGGUCAGGGUUAUCGGGGAGGAGUCGUUGAGACGGAUGAGGAAGGAGCAGCAGUUGGGGAUGGGGAGUGGAGGUUACGCUGGGCCGCGGUGGAAGCCAUUUGGGGAGGUACAUUUGAAGGUCUCUUCAGUUCGUGCCAGCAAGUCAGAUGAUAAAAGGCUGUAUAUUUUUACUGGUACUAAAACUCUUCAUUUACGGUGUGAUUCUAGAGAAGAUCGAACUGCAUGGCUUGAUGCUCUAUUGUCUGCUAAGGAUCAUUUUGCUCGUUCACUGGCAAUUAAUGAACCUGAACCUUCAGUGGAGGUUACUGUCUCAACUGAUAAACUACGAGUAAAACUGAUGCAGGAGGGACUAAGUGAAGCAGCAGUUAAGGAAUGCGAGACUAUUAUGCUAUCUGAAGUCUCUGAGCUGCAGGACCAAUUAAAAUCCUUGCAACAGAGACAUCUUAUUCUACUUGAUACAUUGAGACAACUUGAGACAGAGAAAGUUGAACUGGAGACUACAAUAAUUGAUGAAAGAAAGGAACGUGAAGCACAACUAGGGAUGGUCAACGGAAGAUUUAGUGAUUUCUAUUCCAUUAUCUCAGAGGGCACAGCAACUGACUCUGAAGUCGACAAUGAAAGUCAAGGUGCAGAUGUCGAUACAGAUGAAGAUGAUGGAACAUACUUUGACACAAGGGACUUUUUAUCUGCUGAGUUACUAAGAAAUACUUCUUACCGUAGUAGGGAAGCCAUGGGUAAUGGUUGUGUUGUGUCAGCCUGUAGUAUUGAAUCCACAUUUCCUGCCAAUUGUCAAGAUAUGGUUCUUGGAGUCAGAAGAAUUGAGUAUCCCUAUGUUGAGAGGAGGAACAAAUUGCCUGAGCCAAAGGAAAAAGAAAAGCCUGUUGGCUUGUGGUCGAUAAUUAAAGAGAAUAUUGGGAAGGAUCUUUCUGGUGUCUGUCUUCCAGUUUACUUCAAUGAACCACUUUCUUCCCUCCAGAAAUGCUUCGAGGAUCUUGAGUAUUCCUACCUGGUUGAUCGGGCAUUAGAGUGGGGCAGACAGGGAAACAGCCUAAUGAGGAUUCUACAUAUUGCUGCAUUUGCUGUAUCUGGUUAUGCUUCAACUGAAGGCCGACAAUGCAAACCGUUCAACCCUCUUCUCGGAGAGACAUAUGAAGCUGAUUAUCCAGACAAGGGGCUGCGCUUCAUCUCUGAGAAGGUGAGUCAUCAUCCAAUGGUUGUUGCUUGUCACUGUGAUGGUAGAGGAUGGACAUUUUGUGGAGACUCUAAUCUAAAAGGAAAGUUCUGGGGUCGAUCUAUUCAGCUUGAUCCUAUUGGGAUCCUGACUCUUCAGUUUGAAGACGGAGAAACAUUUCAGUGGAGUAAAGUCACUACUUCUAUAUAUAACAUAAUUAUUGGAAAAAUUUAUUGUGACCACUAUGGUACUAUGCGAAUAAGGGGCAGUGGCCAGUACUCCUGCAAACUCAAGUUCAAAGAACAAUCCAUCAUUGAUCGAAAUCCCCAUCAGGUGCAUGGUUUUGUGCAAGAUAAUAGAACUGGUGACAAGGUAGCAAUGCUGAUGGGAAAGUGGGAUGAGGCAAUGUAUUAUGUGUUAGGAGACCCAACUACAAAGCCAAAGGGUUAUGACCCAAUGUCCGAAGCAGUACUUAUCUGGGAACGAGAUAAGUUUGUAAAUCAAACUCGAUACAACCUCACGCCAUUCGCUAUUUCCUUAAAUGAGCUGACGCCAUCCUUGAUGGAGAAGUUGCCUCCAACUGACUCCCGCUUAAGGCCUGAUCAAAGACAUUUAGAGAAUGGAGAAUAUGAGCUGGCAAAUAUAGAGAAACUUAGGCUGGAACAAUUACAAAGACAGGCAAGGAAGCUACAAGAGAAGGGGUGGCAACCGAGGUGGUUCAGGAGAAAUAGGGAGGAUGACUGUUACCAGUAUGUGGGCGGAUAUUGGGAAGCACGCAAGCAAAGAAAAUGGGAUGAAAUUCCGGAUGUAUUUGGCAAGGGUGACGAUUUGUUGAGUAUAGAGUAAUGUUUUUUUUCUACCUACUAUGUACAUCUAUAAUGCAGGGAAAUUGGGUAUGCAGCCAUAUGUAAUUAGGAGGAUUGACGUGUUAUCAACUAUCAGCCAUUUGUGAUCAAUAUUUCUCUAUGCCCCAUCUUAUGUCAAUUUGGUGUCCUGUGGGGCUGGUUGGAAAGCAUCAGCAAGAGGCAUGUGCCAGGCUAAUCAGUCUGGAGGCAGUUGACAGUCAAACUCGUGUUGCUGCCUGCUGCCUGCUGCCUGCUGCCUGCUGCCUGCUGCAUUCUCUUGUAGUAUCUGGUUCCAUUCUUGUGAUAAAAAGCCAGUUGUCUUAUCUAGAUUCCAAUCCAAGGAAGUGGAGACAGCUAUAUCCAAGAUCAUUGCCGAAGGAAGGUUCGUACUUUCUCCCUACGGUUUAGGAACUGUUCAAACGGCAAAAAAGUGCAGUCCUAUGAUCACAAUAGCAAUAGCCAAUAUAAAAGUCCACAGAAUUUAAACAAAAGUAGUAUUGUCUGCCUACAAGCAUGUGCCUGGGGUCUGAAACCUCACUACUGAGAACCUAGUAGUGCGAGUUGUCUGGUUACAUAUCUUAAUUAUUACUCAGUUUCUGCCGCUGGUUUGCUGAGUGCUGACUAUAUUCAUCUUAAUUUCACAAUUUAAACAAUGAUUUGAGCAUGUAGGUAAACUUUCCUUGUAACCUUAUCUUUGACUCUUUCCAUAUUGUUGCAAGCAAUUAUGAGAUCUACGCGGCCCUUUAUAUUAUUAACCUCAGGUAGUACUUGUUGCACCUCCACCAUCUAUGCAUAUAUUUCUUCAUUCCAUUAAAGUGCGACUUUGAGAUCAUUACCAUACCUGCUGAUAGAAUUUUUGGGUAGUUCCAUGUGCUCAUUCUGCUAGUGCUAGUGCAAGUGGAGCUCACAUGAGACAAGAAACUACAAGAAAGCCCAGAAGGCAGAGAAUCUCCUUGCAGAACUUGUAGGGUAGACUAGGCACCUAGGGAUGGACAGGGGACGGAAUGGAACUCUUAAACCCAGAUUUAUGCUCCCCUAAACCUCCUUACUUUGGCCUGGCGAAGGUGUUUAAUUUAAAUCAACACAAAACAAGAGGAGAGUGAGAGAAUAAUGGGGUGUAUCAGGAGGGUUCUCGUGCUGAUUUGGAUGCUGUUUCUCAUGCUUUCAGGUCUCUUCCUGCACCAUCAGCAAAUCACAGCUGGUGCCAUUAGGAUGCAUGAUCAACAAAUAGUUACGGAAGGAACCAAGGGUAAGAGGCUUUGGUGGUGGGAUCAGGAUUAUGCUCGUGUACGUGACCGGAGGCCGAUAAAUAACAGGUUCAGUCCAUGAAUCGAGUUCAAUCAUUUUUAGCUUCAACUAAUCGCUUUAAUUUCCUCAGUGGAAGAGUUAAAAUUGUAGGAUUCUGAAGUUGUAUUAGUAAUAUUUUUGCCACAAAGGCGUUAAUCAAAUCAUUUCUAGCA
RNA transcript from Zingiber officinale, 4464 nucleotides. It is a transcript of the gene named oxysterol-binding protein-related protein 1D-like, with no coding region annotated. The transcript has 11 exons. The record is from RefSeq and is a predicted model, not a curated record. NCBI's taxonomy places the organism in Eukaryota, Viridiplantae, Streptophyta, Magnoliopsida, Zingiberales, Zingiberaceae.